Molecule: ribosomal RNA, 460 nt
Filed under: uncultured bacterium
Lineage: Bacteria
Description: partial 16S ribosomal RNA
Rfam family: Bacterial small subunit ribosomal RNA
Source: RNAcentral
CCUACGGGUGGCUGCAGUGAGGAAUAUUGGGCAAUGGGCGCGAGCCUGAACCAGCCAAGUCGCGUGAAGGAUGACGGCCCUCCGGGUUGUAAACUUCUUUUAUAAGGGAGUACAGUGAGGCACGUGUGCAUUUUUGUAUGUACUUAAUGAAUAAGGAUCGGCUAACUCCGUGCCAGCAGCCGCGGUAAUACGGAGGAUACGAGGGUUAUACGGAUUUAUUGGGUUUAAAGGGAGCGUAGAUGGGUUGUUAAGUCAGUUGUGAAAGUUUGCGGCUCAACCGUAAAAUUGCAAUUGAUACUGGCAGCCUUGAGUACAGUUGAGGUAGGCGGAAUGCGUGGUGUAGCGGUGAAAUGCUUAGAUAUCGGGCAGAACUCCGAUGGCGAAGGCAGCAUGCCGGCUCCACACUGACGCUGAGGCACGAAAGCGUGGGUAUCGAACAGGAUUAGAUACCCCAGUAGUC